GGGGUUGUAGCUCAGUGGUACAGUGCUUCCCUAGCAUGUUUGAGGCACUGGGUUUGAUUCUCAGCACCUCA
Molecule: transfer RNA, 71 nt
Filed under: Marmota monax (woodchuck)
Lineage: Eukaryota; Metazoa; Chordata; Mammalia; Rodentia; Sciuridae
Description: tRNA.Ala
Source: RNAcentral